Molecule: ribosomal RNA, 674 nt
Filed under: Plasmodium ovale (malaria parasite P. ovale)
Lineage: Eukaryota; Apicomplexa; Aconoidasida; Haemosporida; Plasmodiidae
Description: SSU rRNA
Rfam family: Eukaryotic small subunit ribosomal RNA
Source: RNAcentral
ACAGUUAAAGCAUUUUUACUGCGUUUGAAUACUACAGCAUGGAAUAACAAAAUUGAACAAGCCAGAAUUCUGUUCUUUUUUCUUAUUUUGGCUUAGUUACGAUUAAUAGGAGUAGCUUGGGGGCAUUUGUAUUCAGAUGUCAGAGGUGAAAUUCUUAGAUUUUCUGGAGACAAACAACUGCGAAAGCAUUUGCCUAAAAUAUUUCCAUUAAUCAAGAACGAAAGUUAAGGGAGUGAAGACGAUCAGAUACCGUCGUAAUCUUAACCAUAAACUAUACCAACUAGGUUUUGGAUGAAAAGUUUUUAAAUAAGAGAAUUCCUUUCGGGGAAAUUUCUUAGAUUGCUUCUUUCAGUACCUUAUGAGAAAUCAAAGUCUUUGGGUUCUGGGGCGAGUAUUCGCGCAAGCGAGAAAGUUAAAAGAAUUGACGGAAGGGCACCACCAGGCGUGGAGCUUGCGGCUUAAUUUGACUCAACACGGGGAAACUCGCUAGUUUAAGACAAGAGUAGGAUUGACAGAUUAAUAGCUCUUUCUUGAUUUCUUGGAUGGUGAUGCAUGGCCGUUUUUAGUUCGUGAAUAUGAUUUGUCUGGUUAAUUCCGAUAACGAACGAGAUCUUAACCUGCUAAUUAGCGGCGAAUACGUUAUAUUCUUAUGUGAAAUUGAAUAUAGCUGAAUU